UCCAACAGACCAAAUUUAAUCCCCUUUAUCUCUCUCUUUCCUCUCUCUGCGACAUUCACCCCUUCCUCUUCUUUUUCACUUUUUCUUCUUCUUCGUUCUCUUCUCUGCGACAUUCAUCUCUCUCAAUCAAUUUAUUUAUUUUUUCAAUUUCCAUCUCCUCUUCCCCAUAACCACCGUCGGUCUUCACUUUGUUCGUCACCACCACUCUCUUUUGAUUCCGUCGAGUUCUUCACCACCAUCCCCACCGUCACGCUCAUCACCAACACCACAGAUCUGAGAUGGAGAUUUGACAGAGCGGCAUCUGCAUCUCUGGUUAAGCGUGGUGCAGCAGUGGUGCAAAAGUCGGUGGUCUGUUGGUGGUUCAUGGACGGUGGCUGAAGCUUUGUGAAGAUGGAGAUGGUGGCUGAAGAGUCGAUUAGAUUUAGAUUUCGGUUUAGUUAAUCAUGGCUGGAUGGUCAGAAGAUGAAGAAGACGGCGAAGGUGGAUGUGCGGCUGGGGGAUAGGUUUAGAUAGUAAUUAGGUUUAAUCUUUGUUUAGGUUUUAGGUUUAUUUAGUUUAAUAUUUUUAAUUUGUAAAUCAUAUUCUUAUGGUAAACCAGUUUAAUUAUAAAUUAUUUUAUUUAAUAAAAAAUUAUAUAAACAAUUUUAAAAUUUAA
Molecule: long non-coding RNA, 655 nt
Organism: Raphanus sativus (radish)
Lineage: Eukaryota; Viridiplantae; Streptophyta; Magnoliopsida; Brassicales; Brassicaceae
Exons: 2
Source: RefSeq, a predicted model, not a curated record